AGUUUGCACUUGUCGGGGGUGAGGGCAACUUCGAUUAAGGUUCGACUCGGAGCGAAAGCGAGAGAACGUUACCAACGGCAGCGGCCCGUAGGGUGAGGGCGGCGACGAAUAAUCCUCCCCACCACCA
Molecule: small RNA, 127 nt
Filed under: Salmonella enterica subsp. enterica
Lineage: Bacteria; Pseudomonadati; Pseudomonadota; Gammaproteobacteria; Enterobacterales; Enterobacteriaceae
Description: RtT sRNA
Rfam family: RtT RNA
About the family: This family represents a bacterial cis-regulatory element known as RtT RNA. The exact function of RtT is unknown although it is thought that it may be involved in changing the cellular response in relation to amino acid starvation.
Source: RNAcentral